This 506-nucleotide ribosomal RNA is filed under the name uncultured bacterium. RNAcentral describes it as "partial 16S ribosomal RNA". It matches the Rfam family "Bacterial small subunit ribosomal RNA", at positions 28 to 523 of the family's 1533-position model. The record is from RNAcentral.
GAUGAACGCUAGCUACAGGCUUAACACAUGCAAGUCGAGGGGUAACGAGAGGAAAGCUUGCUUUCCUUGUCGACGACCGGCGCACGGGUGAGUAACGCGUAUCCAACCUGCCCCCAACUAGGGAAUAACCUUGCGAAAGUAAGACUAAUACCCUAUAAUUUCCUCAGAUGUCAUCUGACGAGGAAUAAAGAUUUAUCGGUUGUGGAUGGGGAUGCGUCUGAUUAGCUUGUUGGCGGGGUAACGGCCCACCAAGGCAACGAUCAGUAGGGGUUCUGAGAGGAAGGUCCCCCACAUCGGAACUUAGACACGGUCCAAACUCCUACGGGAGGCAGCAGUGAGGAAUAUUGGUCAAUGGGCGGAAGCCUGAACCAGCCAAGUAGCGUGCAGGAUGACGGCCCUAUGGGUUGUAAACUGCUUUUAUACAGGAAUAAAGUUAGCCACGUGUGGUUAUUUGUAGGUACUGUAUGAAUAAGGACCGGCUAAUUCCGUGCCAGCCGCCGCGGUAA